CGGAGUUCUGAUGGGAUCCAG
Molecule: small nuclear RNA, 21 nt
Filed under: Arabidopsis thaliana (thale cress)
Lineage: Eukaryota; Viridiplantae; Streptophyta; Magnoliopsida; Brassicales; Brassicaceae
Description: snRNA_02571
Source: RNAcentral